AUCCUCUCCUCAGCAGCACAUGUACUAAAAUUGAAACGAUACAGAGAUUAGCAUGGCCCCUGCACAAGGAUGACACACAAAUUUGUGAAGCAUUCCAUAUAUAU
This is a small nuclear RNA of Ochotona princeps (American pika), 104 nucleotides long. NCBI's taxonomy places the organism in Eukaryota, Metazoa, Chordata, Mammalia, Lagomorpha, Ochotonidae. The record is from Ensembl.